RNAcentral lists this ribosomal RNA (239 nucleotides) under Aeromonas salmonicida subsp. salmonicida. RNAcentral's name for it is "partial 23S ribosomal RNA". It matches the Rfam family "Bacterial large subunit ribosomal RNA", at positions 1 to 232 of the family's 2925-position model. The record is from RNAcentral. Lineage: Bacteria; Pseudomonadati; Pseudomonadota; Gammaproteobacteria; Aeromonadales; Aeromonadaceae.
GUUGUAUGGUUAAGUGACUAAGCGUACAUGGUGGAUGCCUUGGCAGUCAGAGGCGAUGAAGGACGUACUAACCUGCGAUAAGCUGUGAGAAGUCGGUAAGAGACGCUAUUACUCACAGAUUUCCGAAUGGGGAAACCCACCCAAGAUAACUUGGGUAUCGUUACAUGAAUACAUAGUGUAACGAGGCGAACCGGGAGAACUGAAACAUCUAAGUACCCCGAGGAAAAGAAAUCAACCGA